This 489-nucleotide ribosomal RNA is filed under the name uncultured bacterium. Its description in RNAcentral is "bacterial SSU rRNA". It matches the Rfam family "Bacterial small subunit ribosomal RNA", at positions 8 to 507 of the family's 1533-position model. The record is from RNAcentral.
AGAGUUUGAUCAUGGCUCAGGAUGAACGCUAGCGGCAGGCCUAAUACAUGCAAGUCGAACGAAGCAGCAAUGCUUAGUGGCGCACGGUGCGUAACACGUAUGUAACCUACCUUUUACUGGGGGAUAACUUCUCGAAAGAGAAGCUAAUACCGCAUAAUACAUUAAAGUCACCUGAUUUAAAUGUUAAAGAUUUAUUGGUAAAAGAUGGGCAUGCGUCCAAUUAGCUAGUUGGUAGUGUAACGGACUACCAAGGCUACGAUUGUAGGGGGUCGUGAGAGGAUGGUCCCCCACCACUGGUACUGAGAUACGGACCAGACUCCUACGGGAGGCAGCAGUAGGGAAUAUUGGGCAAUGGACGAAAGUCUGACCCAGCCAUGCCGCGUGCAGGAUGAAGGCCCUCUGGGUUGUAAACUGCUUUUGACAGGGAAGAAAUACACCAUGCGUGGUGGGCUGACGGUACCUGUAGAAUAAGCACCGGCUAACUCCGUG